Molecule: long non-coding RNA, 498 nt
Organism: Microplitis mediator
Lineage: Eukaryota; Metazoa; Arthropoda; Insecta; Hymenoptera; Braconidae
Exons: 3
Source: RefSeq, a predicted model, not a curated record
AAAUUGCAGCUGAAGAGAUUGAUGAUGAGUCCAUUGAAUCAGAGUUAUUAAAAAAAGAUAAUCUGCAGUGGAUUUUACCGGUUUUUCAACUAAAAUACACUAAUGAGUCAUCUAGUCUGUAUCAAUAUGUCUUCAAAUGUCAGGGAAUAUUAGUCAAACCUGAUGCAGCUCUUACCGCCCGUCUUUGUAUUGAAAAUACAGAAUCAUACGCUAUCGGGAUUUUCUAUGGAACCUCAAGUACAGAUGGAUUGACUAAAUCUCUAUAUCAUCUUCGAAAAAGUAUCUCAGAUUAUGAUAGCACUUCCUACGAAGCAGGAUCCUUUGUUCGUACUGUGCAUGGCGUUCAAUCUUCAGGCAAAAUAACUAUACGAGGUAUAAGUAUUUUGUUCCUCAAAUCACCAAUUAAUAGUAUCAAUCCUAUUACGAUAAAUAAUUCACCAACAAUAAAUGAUAUUUAUAAAAAUAUAAACAAACGCAAGUGCUUACGUAUUUCAAUUA